RNAcentral lists this non-coding RNA (23 nucleotides) under Cricetulus griseus (Chinese hamster). The record is from RNAcentral. Lineage: Eukaryota; Metazoa; Chordata; Mammalia; Rodentia; Cricetidae.
GAGAGAUGGCUCAGAGGUUAAGA